GAUAGAGAGGAUAGACAAACUUCUUGAUGACGAAAAGAACAGGAAAUUCAGACUCCAUCUUGGAUGAGAAGACUUUGACCCGGGUGACUGAGGGAUAUGAUUGAAGUUCCAAAAGUAGCCUUCGUCGAAGUGGAAUCCUUUUUGCUCUAAAAAGCAAUCCGUAUGAUGAACUGAAUCACCCAUUGAAUUACCCCAAGGUUGGUAAGGAAAAAGAAGGAUGAAAGCUGCAAAUAGGCUUCACUAGAGGGAUAACUUAUGCUACCAAAUCCGUUUCUAUUGCUGAAAGACCGUCUGCUACCACUUCACUUAUUAAGAUGCUCUCGCUAUUAAGAGAAGGGGACAUCUCCUAACUGUGGUAAUUGUCGUGUAAUAGGAUGUGUUGAUAAUAGAGUAUUUUGCCACAAAACCUUAUACCGUAGUAGUUGAUGUAGCCCCAAGCCCCUCUUCUCUCUAGCCUUUGAUUUUUUGAUAGAGACCGAUCUGCUUUUGUUGGCAAGUUCGGAAGAAGGCUUUGAGGGGUGGGCCUUUCGUACUCAAAUCCGUACGGGGAUAAUGAUUCAGUGCACUAAAAGAUAGUGGAUGGGGUUUAAUAUUCAUGAAAAGCCAGGUUUGAAAUGAUCCAUAUUACGGAACCAAGACAACCUAUCUUACAAAUAAAAGGGUUAAGGGCCUCCAACGCCUAUAAAUAGAAGCUUUUUUCAGCCUCUAUUUGGCAAAGGUCGCCUGGGUUUUUUUAUUGCAUGAAAAAAAGAGGAAGCAUAGACAAGAGCAAGAGCAACGGUUUACUCGGUUGAAGAAAUAGAGGCAUAAAUCAAGCUAGCAGCAAACCUCGUGGCAAAGCUAUAAGUCACAAAUUUUAUAUCAAUAGAAGAUCUCGUGCCUGCAGGAGCAGCUUACCCCAUAGCAUAACAGUGAGAAGCACUAAUUGAGG
This 931-nucleotide long non-coding RNA is filed under the name Panax ginseng (ginseng). RNAcentral describes it as "long non-coding RNA (PGIN_LNC002618)". Lineage: Eukaryota; Viridiplantae; Streptophyta; Magnoliopsida; Apiales; Araliaceae. The record is from RNAcentral.